RNAcentral lists this ribosomal RNA (253 nucleotides) under uncultured bacterium. RNAcentral describes it as "partial 16S ribosomal RNA". It matches the Rfam family "Bacterial small subunit ribosomal RNA", at positions 524 to 776 of the family's 1533-position model. The record is from RNAcentral.
UACAGAGGUCUCAAGCGUUGUUCGGAUUCAUUGGGCGUAAAGGGUGCGUAGGCGGCGCGGUAAGUCGGGUGUGAAAUCUUGGAGCUUAACUCCGAAACUGCAUUCGAUACUGCCGUGCUUGAGGACUGGAGAGGAGACUGGAAUUUACGGUGUAGCGGUGAAAUGCGUAGAUAUCGUAAGGAAGACCAGUGGCGAAGGCGGGUCUCUGGACAGUUCCUGACGCUGAGGCGCGAAAGCGUGGGUAGCAAACAGG